This 268-nucleotide unclassified non-coding RNA is filed under the name Hevea brasiliensis (rubber tree). Lineage: Eukaryota; Viridiplantae; Streptophyta; Magnoliopsida; Malpighiales; Euphorbiaceae. The record is from RNAcentral.
AAAAUACACUAUAAUAAAGUCAUCUCCUUCGUCUACACUACUUUCUCUGAUUCAGCCAGACUUCAACAACGAAACCCAGAAACCAUUUUCUCUCUUUUUAACCUUUCUGCUGCAUCUAUGGCUCCCUUCCACUGCUCUGGCUCUCAUUUUAUUACUGGUAUUUGCUGCAUUUAUGUCAAAUAUAGAGGGAAGGGAGAUUUUUAUGACUAAUACAGGGCAAGACAACGAAAAGGAGAGUACCGUCCCUUCUUUGUUUGCAAGGUUGGUU